RNA transcript from Dromaius novaehollandiae (emu), 2643 nucleotides. It is a transcript of the gene named poly(ADP-ribose) polymerase family member 6, with no coding region annotated. The transcript has 19 exons. The record is from RefSeq and is a predicted model, not a curated record. NCBI's taxonomy places the organism in Eukaryota, Metazoa, Chordata, Aves, Casuariiformes, Dromaiidae.
GCGGCCGGCGCGGGGCUGACGUCAGCGCGGCGUGCGGCGGCGUGGGGCGCCGUGCCGCCCCGGCGGAGGCCCGGCCGGGUUGCUGGGAGACGGCGGAGCGCAGCGCAGCGCUGCCGGCCCCGCCGGCGGGCCUGACGUCAGGGCCGGGCCGCUCGCAUGGCCGCCCCGCUCGCCGCAGCCCGCCCGGUGGCAUGGAGGAGGCGAGAGGCCUAGCGCCCUCGGACGAGCGCCGGUAAAAUGGACCUCAAGGGCCAGUACUGGACGGACGAUGACUCCGACGGGGACAACGAGUCCGAGGAGUUCCUCUACGGCGUGCAGGGGACCUGCGCCGCCGACCUGUACCGCCACCCGCAGCUGGACGCCGACAUCGAGGCCGUGAAGGAGAUCUACAGCGAGAACUCGGUGGCCGUCAGGGAGUAUGGGACCAUCGACGACGUGGACAUCGACCUCCACGUGAACAUCAGCUUCCUCGAUGAGGAGGUGGCAACAGCCUGGAAGGUGCUGCGGACGGAGCCCAUCGUGCUGCGGCUGCGGUUCUCCCUCUCGCAGUACCUCGAUGGCCCCGAACCAUCCAUCGAGGUUUUCCAGCCGUCCAACAAGGAGGGGUUCGGACUGGGGCUGCAGCUGAAGAAGAUCCUGGGCAUGUUCACGUCGCAGCAAUGGAAACACCUGAGCAACGACUUCCUGAAGACCCAGCAGGAGAAGCGGCACAGCUGGUUCAAGACGAGCGGCACCAUCAAGAAGUUUCGAGCGGGCCUCAGCAUCUUCUCCCCCAUCCCCAAGUCGCCCAGCUUCCCAGUCAUCCAGGACUCGGUGCUGAAGGGCAAGCUGGGCAUGCCUGAGGUGCGCGUCAACCGCCUGAUGAACCGCUCCGUCUCCUGCACGGUGAAGAACCCCAAGGUGGAGGUUUUCGGCUACCCCCCCAGCACCCAGGCAGGUGUCGCCCCCUUCAACAUCCUGGUUGGUGGCCACUGCAAGAACGUCCCCACGCUGGAAUACGGCUUCCUCGUCCAGAUCAUGAAGUACGCGGAGCAGCGGAUCCCGACGCUCAACGAGUACUGCGUGGUGUGCGACGAGCAGCACGUCUUCCAGAACGGCUCCAUGCUCAAGCCGGCUGUGUGCACCCGCGAGCUGUGCGUGUUCUCCUUCUACACCCUCGGCGUGAUGUCCGGCGCGGCGGAGGAGGUGGCCACGGGCGCCGAGGUGGUGGACCUGCUCGUGGCCAUGUGCCGUGCUGCUCUGGAGUCCCCCCGCAAGAGCAUCAUCUUUGAGCCUUACCCCUCCGUGGUGGACCCCAACGACCCCAAAACACUUGCCUUCAACCCCAAGAAGAAGAACUACGAGAGGCUGCAGAAGGCCCUGGACAGCGUGAUGUCCAUCCGGGAAAUGACCCAGGGGUCAUAUCUGGAGAUCAAGAAGCAGAUGGACAAACUGGACCCCCUGGCGCAUCCCCUCCUGCAAUGGAUAAUCUCCAGCAACAGAUCCCACAUCGUCAAGCUACCUCUCAGCAGGCAGCUGAAGUUUAUGCACACCUCACACCAGUUCCUCCUGCUGAGCAGCCCCCCGGCCAAGGAGGCCCGUUUCCGCACCGCCAAGAAGCUCUACGGCAGCACCUUCGCUUUCCACGGCUCUCACAUUGAGAACUGGCACUCCAUCCUCCGCAACGGGCUGGUGAACGCGUCCUACACCAAGCUGCAGCUGCAUGGAGCAGCCUAUGGCAAGGGCAUCUAUCUGAGCCCCAUCUCCAGUAUUUCCUUUGGAUACUCAGGUAAGAGGCUGCAUGCACUGCUCCGUCCCGCCUGCACUCCCAUCCCACUCCUUGCAUGGGCACGGGCCCGGCUCCGCUUCGGACGAUGCCGUUGGGAGGAGCUGCACAGGGAGGAGGGUGGCGAGGCCUCCCGGCUGUGCCCGGGGCGUCCUUCCUGCCCGGACCAGCCGCUCCCCUCCGGAUCUGGCAUUUCCAAUGCACCGCUCUGGUCUCUGGGGAAAAAUCCAGCAUUUUCUAGGGAAGAAAUGACCCUAAGGUGCUUUGGUGGAGUUUUCCCCAGGGAGACAACUUGUCUCUCUGAGCAGCUCUGCCAGGCUCUGGCUGGCCAGAGAGCGCGGCUCGGCGCGGGUCCUGCAGCCAUGGGGGCUCUGGGCGCAGCUGGCUCGGACCCUCGGUCGGGCAUCGCGCUACGGCCGCUGGGUCUGCUUCGUUUGCCAGCUCCGAAAAUCGGGUGCUCCCACCUUGCGGGACCUCGGGGCCGGGCGCUGCUCUCCCAGGGCCUCGCCUGACCUCGGUGCUGCGCUCGCGUGUCGCGGGUGCCGCAGCGUGGCAGAGCUGUCCCCGGCGCGUCUGUGGCAUGCGUCCUCUCACCCGUGUCUCCGGGAUCCUGCCGGGUGACAGAGCCUUGGGGUGCUCCUUGCCCAGCGGCCGCAGUGGUGCCCACCCCGGGGAGCUCCCGCGACCUGGGCUGGGGCUAGGGAGUGACGGCGGUGGUGUCGCUUGUCCCGCAGGGAUGGGGAAAGGGCAGCACCGGAUGCCUUCCAAGGACGAGCUGGUGCAGCGAUACAACCGGAUGAACACCAUUCCCCAGACCCGAUCCAUCCAGUCUCGCUUCCUCCAGAGCCGCAACUUGAACUGCAUUGCGCUUUGUGAAG